Molecule: microRNA, 21 nt
Filed under: Monodelphis domestica (gray short-tailed opossum)
Lineage: Eukaryota; Metazoa; Chordata; Mammalia; Didelphimorphia; Didelphidae
Description: mdo-miR-7344-3p
Source: miRBase by way of RNAcentral
AUACUCAGGUUGGGGGCUAAU